This 232-nucleotide ribosomal RNA is filed under the name uncultured Smithella sp. RNAcentral describes it as "partial 16S ribosomal RNA". It matches the Rfam family "Bacterial small subunit ribosomal RNA", at positions 1150 to 1382 of the family's 1533-position model. Lineage: Bacteria; Pseudomonadati; Thermodesulfobacteriota; Syntrophia; Syntrophales; Smithellaceae. The record is from RNAcentral.
UGCCGGUGUUAAACCGGAGGAAGUGGGGAUGACGUCAAGUCCUCAUGGCCUUUAUGCUUAGGGCUACACACGUGCUACAAUGGGUAGUACAAAGAGAAGCCAACUCGCGAGAGUGCGCAAAUCUCAAAAAGCUAUCCUAAGUUCGGAUUGAAGUCUGCAACUCGACUUCAUGAAGCUGGAAUCGCUAGUAAUCGCGGAUCAGCAUGCCGCGGUGAAUACGUUCCCGGGCCUU